CCUACGGUGGGCUGCAGUGGGGAAUAUUGGACAAUGGGCGAAAGCCUGAUCCAGCCAUGCCGCGUGUGUGAAGAAGGCCUUCGGGUUGUAAAGCACUUUCAGUGGGGAAGAAAGCCUUGGGGCUAAUACCCUCGAGGAAGGACAUCACCCACAGAAGAAGCACCGGCUAACUCCGUGCCAGCAGCCGCGGUAAUACGGAGGGUGCGAGCGUUAAUCGGAAUUACUGGGCGUAAAGCGCGCGUAGGCGGUCUGAUAAGCCGGUUGUGAAAGCCCCGGGCUCAACCUGGGAACGGCAUCCGGAACUGUCAGGCUAGAGUGCAGGAGAGGAAGGUAGAAUUCCCGGUGUAGCGGUGAAAUGCGUAGAGAUCUGGAGGAAUACCAGUGGCGAAGGCGGCCUUCUGGACUGACACUGACGCUGAGGUGCGAAAGCGUGGGUAGCAAACAGGAUUAGAUACCCCUGUAGUC
Molecule: ribosomal RNA, 465 nt
Filed under: Vreelandella stevensii
Lineage: Bacteria; Pseudomonadati; Pseudomonadota; Gammaproteobacteria; Oceanospirillales; Halomonadaceae
Description: partial 16S ribosomal RNA
Rfam family: Bacterial small subunit ribosomal RNA
Source: RNAcentral